CCCUCCCUCUCUACCUUAUUGAGCUCCUCUGAAAAUGAAAAUAGAUGCCCUUAUAUAGGGAAUUUAGCCUAAAUUCAUACAGAUUUCUCUUGAAAUUCGUUAUGAAUUUAAGUUGAAUUUCCUCUAUAAGCGCAUCUAUGCUCAUUUCUGAGUAGUUUUUUAUAUAGUUUUUUUUCUUUUCUGCUAUAUUUAUUUUUUUCUUUUUAUUUCUGAGUUGUAAUAAGCCAUUAAAAAUAAGCAUAUAUGCUCCUUUUUUAGUACAGUUAAUCACAAUUAUUUUUUGCUUCUAUUCAUUUCUGAGUAGUUUUCUAUAUAGUUUUUUUUUAUUUUUUGUUAUAUUUAUUCUUUUGUUUUUAUUUCUGAGUUGUAAUAAGUCAUUAAAAAUAAGCAUCUAUGCUACUUUUUUAGUAAAGUUAAUCAAAACUAUUUUUUCUUCUAUUUAUUUCUGAGUGGUUUUUUGUAUAGUUUUUUUUCUUUUCUGCUACAUUUAUUUGUUUCUUUUUAUUUCUGAGUUGUAAUAAGUCAUUAAAAAUAAAAAAGAGGUGCAAUGCUCGUUAAUUUGCUUCAAGCAUGACCAAGCAUAGCACCUGUCGGCCAGGCAUGACUUGACAGCUCCACCGAACCUCCGUGCAAGACGAAGCCGCUCCACCUCCUUCCUCUGACUUCCAGCGCUGCUCCAC
This 680-nucleotide long non-coding RNA is filed under the name Triticum aestivum (bread wheat). RNAcentral describes it as "long non-coding RNA (TAES_LNC017239)". The record is from RNAcentral. Lineage: Eukaryota; Viridiplantae; Streptophyta; Magnoliopsida; Poales; Poaceae.